Molecule: ribosomal RNA, 496 nt
Filed under: uncultured bacterium
Lineage: Bacteria
Description: partial 16S ribosomal RNA
Rfam family: Bacterial small subunit ribosomal RNA
Source: RNAcentral
GAUGAACGCUGGCGGCGUGCCUAAUACAUGCAAGUCGAGCGAACGGACGAGAAGCUUGCUUCUCUGAUGUUAGCGGCGGACGGGUGAGUAACACGUGGAUAACCUACCUAUAAGACUGGGAUAACUUCGGGAAACCGGAGCUAAUACCGGAUAAUAUUUUGAACCGCAUGGUUCAAAAGUGAAAGACGGUCUUGCUGUCACUUAUAGAUGGAUCCGCGCUGCAUUAGCUAGUUGGUAAGGUAACGGCUUACCAAGGCAACGAUGCAUAGCCGACCUGAGAGGGUGAUCGGCCACACGGGAACUGAGACACGGUCCAGACUCCUACGGGAGGCAGCAGUAGGAAUCUUCCGCAAUGGGCGAAAGCCUGACGGAGCAACGCCGCGUGAGUGAUGAAGGUCUUCGGAUCGUAAAACUCUGUUAUUAGGGAAGAACAUAUGUGUAAGUAACUGUGCACAUCUUGACGGUACCUAAUCAGAAAGCCACGGCUAACUACGUG